GCGCAAUAAAGUCACGAGGCAAGUAUCCUCACCAGGUGGAACGUUCAAAUCGAUAGCACGCCGGUUCGAACAUAUACACUUGGACAUUAUCGUGAUGCAAUACUCGCACCGAUAUUGUCUAACGUGCAUCGAACGUUUUUCGCGUUAUCCUGAAGCCGUUCCCAUUGCCGAUAUGGAAGCCCCCACCGUGGCCUCGGCCCUCCUUUCGACUUGGAUUUUUCGUUACGGCGGCCCC
Long non-coding RNA from Bombus impatiens (common eastern bumble bee), 235 nucleotides. RefSeq lists it as uncharacterized. NCBI's taxonomy places the organism in Eukaryota, Metazoa, Arthropoda, Insecta, Hymenoptera, Apidae. The transcript has 2 exons. The record is from RefSeq and is a predicted model, not a curated record.